Molecule: small nucleolar RNA, 82 nt
Filed under: Anaeromyces robustus
Lineage: Eukaryota; Fungi; Neocallimastigomycota; Neocallimastigomycetes; Neocallimastigales; Neocallimastigaceae
Source: RNAcentral
UUAAAUGAUGAAAACUUCAGAUAAAAAAGCUGGAAUUACCGGCUGAAUAAAAAUGUUGAAAAAUAUCUGGACACACCUGAUA